RNAcentral lists this ribosomal RNA (466 nucleotides) under uncultured bacterium. Its description in RNAcentral is "partial 16S ribosomal RNA". It matches the Rfam family "Bacterial small subunit ribosomal RNA", at positions 28 to 507 of the family's 1533-position model. The record is from RNAcentral.
GAUGAACGCUGGCGGCGUGCUUAACACAUGCAAGUCGAACGAUGAAGCCCAGCUUGCUGGGUGGAUUAGUGGCGAACGGGUGAGUAACACGUGAGUAACCUGCCCUUAACUCUGGGAUAAGCCUGGGAGACUGGGUCUAAUACCGGAUAGGAGCGUCCACCGCAUGGUGGGUGUUGGAAAGAUUUAUCGGUUUUGGAUGGACUCGCGGCCUAUCAGCUUGUUGGUGAGGUAAUGGCUCACCAAGGCGACGACGGGUAGCCGGCCUGUGAGGGUGACCGGCCACACGGGGACUGAGACACGGCCCAGACGCGUACGGGAGGCAGCAGGGGGGAACAUUGCACAAUGGGCGCGAGCCUGAGGCAGCGGCGCUGCGUGAGGGAUGACGGCCUUCGGGUUGUAAACAUCUUUCAGAAGGGAAGAACCGAAAGUGACGGUACCUGCAGAAGAAGCACCGGCUAACUACGUG